This 101-nucleotide microRNA precursor is filed under the name Lucilia cuprina (Australian sheep blowfly). Lineage: Eukaryota; Metazoa; Arthropoda; Insecta; Diptera; Calliphoridae. The record is from RNAcentral.
CUAUAGUCUAGUCUAUAGUCUAGUCUAUAGUCUAGUCUAUAGUCUAGUCUAUAGUCUAGUCUAGUGACUAGACUAUAGACUAGACUAUAGACUAGACUCUA